GACGAACGCUAGCGGCGUGCUUAACACAUGCAAGUCGAACGGAAAGGCCUCUUUCGGGGGGUACUCGAGUGGCGAACGGGUGAGUAACACGUGAGUAACCUGCCCUUGACUUUGGGAUAACUUCAGGAAACUGGGGCUAAUACCGGAUAGGAGCUCCUGCUGCAUGGUGGGGGUUGGAAAGUUUCGGCGGUUGGGGAUGGACUCGCGGCUUAUCAGCUUGUUGGUGGGGUAGUGGCUUACCAAGGCUUUGACGGGUAGCCGGCCUGAGAGGGUGACCGGCCACAUUGGGACUGAGAUACGGCCCAGACCCCUACGGGAGGCAGCAGUGGGGAAUAUUGCACAAUGGGUGGAAGCCUGAUGCAGCAACGCCGUGUGCGGGAUGACGGCCUUCGGGUUGUAAACCGCUUUCGCUCAUGACGAAGCUUUGUGUGACGGUAGUGGGUAAAGAAGCACCGGCGAACUACGU
RNAcentral lists this ribosomal RNA (466 nucleotides) under uncultured bacterium. RNAcentral describes it as "partial 16S ribosomal RNA". It matches the Rfam family "Bacterial small subunit ribosomal RNA", at positions 28 to 506 of the family's 1533-position model. The record is from RNAcentral.